Molecule: long non-coding RNA, 6308 nt
Filed under: Homo sapiens (human)
Lineage: Eukaryota; Metazoa; Chordata; Mammalia; Primates; Hominidae
Description: non-protein coding lnc-HNRNPF-1:4
Source: RNAcentral
AGUCCAGCGCUCCCUGCGCUUCCGGAAGCCUUGCUGCUCCCGCGUGCCUAGCGGGGGCUCGGCCCUAUGCCACGGGCAUCCCACCCUGCUACCAGCUGCCCUCUUGUCCGCUGGCCGGACUCUUACCCCAGCCUUCUUCAGGAAGACACGGCGCAGUCCGGCUUCCCCACGAAAGCGAAGGUCGCUGGGACCGCGGCUGGGCGUCCGGGGGCGGGGCCGCGACGCCAUUGUGACGCGCUCGGAGCAGGGCUGGGCCGAGGACCCCGGGCGCUGGAGGGCAGGCCCUAGCCACUGCUCCUGAGGCCCUGGAGGCAGCUGACGCUUGAGGCCGCUGGGCGCCGCAACGUGAGCCCAAAGGACGCCCCGCUUCAAGACUGGCGCAAGAGGAAAAAAUGAAGGUCGUUUUCUGCGGAGGAUGUUAGGAGAACGAGAACUGCGGGCCAGAGAACUGACCUAGCUUAAGGAGCGCAGGCAGCCUCUGCCGCCGGCUCUUGGGGAGACACGGAGAGGAUGGGGUCCCCGCUCCGCAUCAGGUCCUCUGACGCACCCCGGCUUUCCAGGAGGUAGGACUGGCCACAGGCCUCCUUCCCAGGGACAAAGUGCAAAGCAGAGGCUGUCAGCAGCGUGACCUUCGCUGCAGGAGAAAUACGCGUCCAGUUCGUUUUCGUCAGAGUUCUGCUACAUCAGGCCUGCCGUAUUUGCUGUACACAAAUCAGCCAACUUCCCAGGCCUGGGUGCGGAGGUAUUUGUUAAGCACAUGCACACAGUUGGAAUUAGCAGCCUCAGGGAUCAAAAGUUGUCCUUUUUUUUUUUUUUUUUUUUGGAGACGAAGUUUCGCUCUUGUUGCCCAGGCUGGAGUGCAGUGGCGCGAUCUUGGCUCACUGCAACCUCCGCCUCCCGAGUUCAAGUGAUUCUCCUACCUCAGGCUCCCGAGUAGCUGGGAUUACAGUCGUCCGCCACCACGCCCGGUUAAUUUUUUUUGUUUUUAGUAGAGAUGGGGUUUCACCAUUUUGGCCAGGCUGGUGUCGAACUCUUUUUUUUUUUUUUUUUUUUUUUUUUUGAGACGGAGUCUCGCUCUGUCACCCAGGGUGGAGUGCAGUGGCGCGAUCUCAGCUCACUGCAAGCUCCGCCUCCCAGGGUCACGCCAUUGUCUUGCCUCAGCCUCCCGAGUAGCUGGGACUACAGGCGCCCGCCACCACGCCCGGCUAAUUUUUUGUAUUUUUAGUAGAGACGGGGUUUCACCGUGUUAGCCAGGUUGGUCUUGAUCUCCUGACCUCGUGAUCCGCCCGUCUCGGCCUCCCAAAGUGCUGGGAUUACAGGCAUGAGCCACCGUGCCCGGCCUGGUGUCGAACUCUUGACCUCAGGUGAUCCACUGGCCUCGGCCUCCCAAAGUGGUAGGAUUACAGGCGUGAGCCACCGCGCCCCUGCCCAAGAGUUGUCAUUUCUGUAGCAAAGCAGCUAAGCAAUAUUCUUUUGCCUGCCACCUAAAUGUGAUUAGGUGCAGCAUCAUUAAGAAAAAAAAUAAAAAGCCCGGGCGUGGUGGCUUACGCCUGUAAUCCUAACACAUUGGGAGGCCAAGGCGGGUGGAUCACCUGAGAUCAGGAGUUUAAGAUCAGUCUGGCCUACAUGGUGAAACUCCAACUCUACUAAAAAUUCAAAAUUAGCUGGGUGUGGUGGCACAUGCCUGUGAUCCCAGUUAUUCGGGAGGCUGAGGCAGGAGAAUAGCUUGCACCCGGGAGGCAGAGGUUGCUGUGAGCCGAGAUCUCGCCAUUGCACUCCAGCCUGGGCAACAAGAGCGAGACUCUGUCCCAAAAAAAAAAAAAAAAAAAAAAAAAAGCCCUGAGACCCACGGUAGCUGGCCUGGAUUACUUGAUGAACAUAAACAGGUUCACAGAAAAUUGAUAUCAGACGAGUUCUUUCUGUGACUGAGGGAAGGAGAAAAUAAUUCCGAUCAGUGAUCUUGCCUGCAUAAAUAAAAACUGGCACUGCGCAACCACACACACAGAAGAAUAAACAUCCCUUCUUCAGCUAGCAUGAGUAAUUACUGCUUUUUCUCCAAUGACAGCUUUAGCUCCUCUCUAUUCCUCCUGCUUUCUGGAUUUAAAAAAAAUUUUUUUUUUUUUUUUUUGAGAAGGAGUCUUGCUCUGUCGCCCAGGCUGGAGUGAAGUAGCACAAUUUCGGCUCACUGCAACCUCUGCCUCCCAGGUUCAAGCAAUUCUCCUGUCUCAGCCUCUCGAAUAGCUGGGAUUACAGGCACCUGCCACCUAGUAGAGAUGGGGUUUCACCAGGUUGGCCAGGCUGGUCUCAAACUCCUGACCUCAAGUGAUCGCCUGCCUCGGCCUCCCAGAGUGCUGGGAUUACAGGCAUGAGCCACCGCGCCCCACCUAAAAUUGUUGAAAUAAUCUUUGAGUGGCCGGGCGCGGUGGCUCACGCCUGUAAUCCCAGCACUUUGGGAGGCCGAGGCGGGCGGAUCACGAGGUCAGGAAAUCGAGACCAUCCUGGCUAACACGGUGAAACCCCGUCUCUACUAAAAAUACAAAAAAUUAGCCGGGCGAGGUGGCGGGCGCCUGUAGUCCCAGCUACUCGGGAGGCUGAGGCAGGAGAAUGGCGUGAACCCCGCGGGGCGGAGCCUGCAGUGAGCCGAGAUCGCGCCACUGCACUCCAGCUUGGGUGAAAAAGCGAGACUCCAUCUCAAAAAAAAAAAUAAUAAUAAUCUUUGAGUUGCCCCUGUUAGUACAGCACCAAUCCAAAACACACCCCUGUCCUUGGACCCUCCCCAAAAUCACCAGCCACAAGUCCAAAUGGUAUAACAAGCCCUCUAACAAGUCUCCUAAGACACCCCAUGGUUUCAGAGGUGUGAUGUCUCAUUGCAGCAACUAACAGCCCCAAAUAAUAACUAGUUCACAGUGAGGAAUAUAUGCAUUCACUGAAAUAGCAAAUCAUCAUUCCACCAUAUGUAUGCCUUUUGUAGUCUGACUGGUAGACACGGCAAAUAUAGAUACACUUAUAUAUGAAGGAUACGUAACUCAUAUGCACAAAUGAAACUUCAGAGCCUAUACUCUAAUGAAAAAUCAAAAUAAAUUUUUCUUUCUUUUUUUUUUUAACUCUUUGAGACAGGGUCUUGCACCAUCCCCUAGCCAGGAGUGCAGUGGCAGGAUCUCAGCUCGCUGCAGCCUUGACAGCUCAAGCAAUCUUCCCACCUCAGCCUCUCAGCCUCCCGGUAGCUGGGACGACAGGGGGUCACCACCACACCCAGCUGAUUUUUUUUUUUUUUUUUUUUUGAGAUGGUGUCUCGCACUGUCUCCCGGGCUGGAGUGCAAUGGUGCGAUCUCGGCUCACUGCAACCUCCACCUCCCAGGUUCACGGGAUUCUCCUGCUUCAGCCUCCGGAGUAGUUGGGAUUACAGGCGCACACCACCACACCCGGCUAACUUUUUGUGUUUUUAGUAGAGAGGGGGUUUCACUAUGUUGGCCAGACUGGUCUCAAACUCCUGACCUCAUGAUCUGUCCUUCUUGGCCUCCCAAAGUGCUGGGAUUACAGGGUUGAGCCACCGUUCCUAGCCACACCCAGCUGAUUUUUAAAUUUUUUUGGAGAGACACAGACUUGCUAUGUUACCUAGGCUGGUCUCUAACUCCUGGGCUCAAGUGAUCCUCCUCCUGCAUUGGCCUCCCAAAGUGCUGGGAUUACAGCUGUGAGCCACUGCAUCUGGCCAAAACAAACAUUUCUUUUUUUUUUUUUUUUUUUGGACACUGAGUCUUGCUAUGUUGUCCAGGCUAGAGUGCUGGGGUGUGAUCUUGACUCACUGCAACCUCUGCCUCCCAGGUUCAAGCGAUUCUCCUGCCUCAUCCUCCCAAGUAGCUGGGACUACAGGCACACACCACCACGCCUGGCUCAUUUUUGCAUUUUUAGUAGAGACAAGGUUUCACCAUGUUGCCCAGGCUGGUCUUGAACUCCUGAGCUUAAGUGAUCCUCCUGCUUUGGCCUCCCAAAGUGCUGGGAUUACAGACGCGAGCCACUGCACCCAGCUAAUUUUUUUAUUUUUAGUAGAGAUGGGGUUUUGCCAUGUUCGCCAGGUUAGUCUCAAACUCCUGACCUCAGGUGAUCUGCCCACCUCGGCCUCCCAAAGUGCUACUCGGGAGGCUGAGGCAGGAGAAUGGCGUGAACCCGGGAGGCGGAGCUUGCAGUGAGCCGAGAUUGCGCCACUGCACUCCAGCCUGGGCAACACAGCAAGACUCCGCCUCAAAAAACAAAAAAAAAUUAGCCAGGCAUGGUGGCAGGCGCCUGUAAUCCCAGCUACUCGGCAGGCUGAGGUGGGAAAAUCGCUUGAACCUGGGAGGCAGAGGUUGCAGUGAACCGAGAUCACGCCACUGCCUAGGCAACAGUGCGAGACUCUGUCUCAAAAAAAAAAAAAAUACAAAAAUUAGCUGGGCAUAGUGGCGCAAGCCUGUAGUCCCAGCUACUGGGGAGGCAGAGGUGAGAGAAUCGCUUGAACUUGGGAGGCAGAUGUUGCAGUGAGCUGAGAUCGUGCCAUUGCAACAUAGGGAGGCCCCAUCUCAAAAAAAAAAAAAAAAAAAGAACCACAGAUGUAGCCAGGCACAGGGGCUGAUGCGUGUAAUCCCAGCUACUCAGGAGGCUGUGGUGAGAGAAUCAUUUGAGCCUGGAACUUUAAGACCAGCCUAAGCAACGUAGUGAGACCCUGUCUCUAAAAAAAAAAAUUUUAGGCCAGGUGCGGUGGCUCACGCCUGUAAUCCCAGCACUUUGGGAGGCUGAGGCAGGUGGAUCAUGAGGUCAGGAGUUCAAGACCAGCCUGGCCAAGAUGGUGAAACCCUGUCUCUAUAAAAAAUACAAAAAUUUUCCUGGUGUGGUGGCGGGCACCUGUAAUCCCAGCUAAUCGAGAAGCUGAGGCAGAGAAUUGCUGAGAUCACGCCACUGCACUCCAGCCUGGGCAACAAGAGCAAAACUCCGUCUCAAAAAAAAAAAAUUUUUUUUAAUAAGCUAAAACAGGCUGGGAACAUGGCUAAAACCCGUCUCUACAGAAAACAUACAAAAAAAUUAGCUAGGUGUGGUAGCAAGUGCUGGUGGUCCCAGCUACUCAGGAGGCUGAGGUGGAAAGAUCACCUGAGCCCAGGACGUUGAGGCUACAGUGAGCCAUGAUCAUGCCACUGCACUACAGCCUGGGCAACAGAGUAAGACUCUAUCUCAAAAUAAUUAAUUAAAAUAAAUAUAAAAUUAAAUUUAAAACCCCAAAUGUGGCUGAGUGUGGUGGCUUACACCUAUAAUCCUAGCACUUUGGGAGGCUGAGGCAGGAGGAUCAAUUAAGCCCAGGAGUUUGAGACCAGCCUGGGCAACACAGUGGGACCCUGUCUCUAUAAAAAAUAAAACCCACAAAUCUGCAGGAGGAACAGGAAAAGUUUUGGUAAGGCGGCAUUGUCAAAUCAAAAGAGAAGGAAGGAAGGUAUCUCUUUAGACUCUGCAAACACAUUGACACAUCUCCUGAGCUUUUCUUGGUGUUGUCAGCAUCACCCAGCCCCAUCCCCUACUCCUAGACUUCCCCAGACACAGAAAUUAAUCAACACUGUACAGGACAACCAACAAAACAGAAAAUAGGGUACUCAAGCCUGGACACCAGACAGUCACCAUGGGACAGCCCAGCCUUCUGCAGUAAUAGUGGACAGAUGUUUCCAUUCAGGGAAUCCAAUAAUAAAAGGAAAAUAAAUGUGCAUGUUAAGGGCAGAAAAGAGGGAGAAGAGGGAUUACUUGACUUACAGCAAUUGCAGCUUGGAGUCUGUCUUCCAGAAUCUGAUGGCUUUCAUAAUUAUGUGGUAUGAGUGGAGGCUACCUCUGUAGCAGUGCUGUAGAAUAGAAUAUAGAAAUACAUAAGCCAGCCAGGCACAGUGGUUCACGCCUGUAAUCCCAGCACUGUAGGAGGCAGAGGUGGGUGGAUCCUCUGAGGUCAGGAGUUCAAGACUAGCCUGACUGACAUGGAGAAACCCUGUCUCUACUAAAAAUAUAAAAUUAGCCAGGCAUGGUGGCGCAUGCCUGUAAUCCCAGCUACUCCGUAGGCUGGGGCAGGAGAAUUGCUUGAACCCAGGAGGCGGAGGUUGUGGUGAGCCGAGACCGCGCCACUGCACUCUAGCCUGGGCGACAGAGCAGGACUCUGUCUCAAAAAAAAAAAAAAAUUGCUACUAGCUGCAUUUAUAAAAGUAAAAAGAAACGGGUGAAAUUAAUGUUAAUAUUUUAUUUGAUUCAAUAUAUCCAAACUAUUAUAUUUCACAUGUGAUUAAUAAAGUUAUCCAUGAGACAUUUGA